ACAAAACAGAAGAAUAACUCGGGGGAGGGGGAUAGGCUAGCUUUUUGUCCUGUUUAUAUAGCUCAAACAAAUACAUUUGUAUAUAUCUUCCACAAUGCAUUUUUUUUUAUUAUAUCGAAUAAAGAAUACAUAUUUUGGCUUAAAAAAAAAAUUUCAAGAUGGCCGCCAUUCAAUAUGGGUAAUAUUUCCAAAACUUUUGUUCUACAAGACAAUUGGAUUCAGC
RNAcentral lists this long non-coding RNA (223 nucleotides) under Mytilus galloprovincialis (Mediterranean mussel). Lineage: Eukaryota; Metazoa; Mollusca; Bivalvia; Mytilida; Mytilidae. The record is from RNAcentral.